UGGGGAAUUUGGGACAAUGGGCGAAAGCCUGAUCCAGCAAUGCCGCGUGUGUGAAGAAGGCCUUCGGGUUGUAAAGCACUUUUGUCCGGAAAGAAAUCCUUGGCUCUAAUACAGUCGGGGGAUGACGGUACCGGAAGAAUAAGCACCGGCUAACUACGUGCCAGCAGCCGCGGUAAUACGUAGGGUGCAAGCGUUAAUCGGAAUUACUGGGCGUAAAGCGUGCGCAGGCGGUUUGCUAAGACCGAUGUGAAAUCCCCGGGCUCAACCUGGGAACUGCAUUGGUGACUGGCAGGCUAGAGUAUGGCAGAGGGGGGUAGAAUUCCACGUGUAGCAGUGAAAUGCGUAGAGAUGUGGAGGAAUACCGAUGGCGAAGGCAGCCCCCUGGGCCAAUACUGACGCUCAUGCACGAAAGCGUGGGGAGCAAACAGGAUUAGAUACCCUGGUAGUCCACGCCCUAAACGAUGUCAACUAGUUGUUGGGGAUUCAUUUCCUUAGUAACGUAGCUAACGCGUGAAGUUGACCGCCUGGGGAGUACGGUCGCAAGAUUAAAACUUAAAUGAAUUG
This 564-nucleotide ribosomal RNA is filed under the name uncultured bacterium. RNAcentral's name for it is "partial 16S ribosomal RNA". It matches the Rfam family "Bacterial small subunit ribosomal RNA", at positions 355 to 912 of the family's 1533-position model. The record is from RNAcentral.